This is a long non-coding RNA of Salvelinus namaycush (lake trout), 1106 nucleotides long. RefSeq lists it as uncharacterized. The record is from RefSeq and is a predicted model, not a curated record. The transcript has 4 exons. NCBI's taxonomy places the organism in Eukaryota, Metazoa, Chordata, Actinopteri, Salmoniformes, Salmonidae.
AGUUUCCUGUACCUUUACCCAUCCUCCUGCAGUAUCCAUGCUCCUGCACCUAUCAUCACAAGAUACAGGACCUACAGGAGCUGAUGAGGAGUUUCACUGGGCCAUAUUGUCACGUAACCCCAAAGGUGACUUGGGCAGAGAGGCAGGCCUUGUGUGCACAAAAGUGGGGGGAAAGAGAGAGGCAAUGGUGGACAGCAUGUUCUCUGCUGAAGGUACUGUGUUGGGCCGGUGUCAGUAUUGCAACAGUGAGGAUGCUGUUGUGCAGUGCAGAGAUUGACUGCCGAGGCAUCUUCUCUGUGCCGCAUGUGACAUAGCCACUCAUAGCACCAAGGUUUUGCACAACAGGGAGACUCUGUUUGAAGGGUUUUAUCACCCCUUAUCCCCAACCACCGUAAUUCAUCAGGAUGAUGACGGGUCCCUUACCUUCCAGGAGCAAGUUUGUCUUUUGCCCAUGGCUGUGUCACAGCUGUGUGGUUGGUCCCCCAGCGCCCCGACAGUGACAAGGAGGUCAUCCUGAUUGGAAAAAAUGGGUGCUACAACCUGUCCCUUCCUGAUCUGAACUGCUCCAGAUGUCUGAGACAUUGGAGAGUGGGGCUGGACGAACUUGUAAAGAGUGUCUACUGGCCAGCCACCGUGACUCACCAGACGAUCUACAAAGUGUACCUAUUCAAGUCAGUGGCCCCAGGAUGCUCCCGUCAAGCCUUUGUGGGAAUUUUUGAUGGAACAACAAAGCACUUUGGCAGGGUAAGUGUGUAUAUACUAAUCAAAUGAUAAUUUUAAUUAAUUAGUGGUUAAUAUUUGUCCCAAAUAUAAAAAUUGCCCCUUACUUAUACCUCUGUAUGUUUUGCAUGUUAAUAGAGUGGAAAGAUAUGUGGCUACACAUUCUAGAAAGCACUUACUGGCGGUUUGAAAUAGACAAGCUUUGCGGAAGCGAUCUCCUCCAUUGUCCUGCCUGCUCACAGGAGAUGCAUGCUAUAUCAGUAGAUGGGAAUCGGAAGCAAUACCGCUUCUGGAAAGCUUCUUGUUUUAUACUACCUUCUUAUGUGUUUGAUGUUUUGUUCAGAGUAUAAUUAUACCUUCUUAAAGUGCAUGCUGGUCUUUUUGUU